UAGGGAAUCUUCCGCAAUGGGCGAAAGCCUGACGGAGCAACGCCGCGUGAGUGAUGAAGGUCUUCGGAUCGUAAAACUCUGUUAUUAGGGAAGAACAAAUGUGUAAGUAACUAUGCACGUCUUGACGGUACCUAAUCAGAAAGCCACGGCUAACUACGUGCCAGCAGCCGCGGUAAUACGUAGGUGGCAAGCGUUAUCCGGAAUUAUUGGGCGUAAAGCGCGCGUAGGCGGUUUUUUAAGUCUGAUGUGAAAGCCCACGGCUCAACCGUGGAGGGUCAUUGGAAACUGGAAAACUUGAGUGCAGAAGAGGAAAGUGGGAUUCCAUGUGUAGCGGUGGAAUGCGCAGAGAUAUGGAGGAACACCAGUGGCGAAGGCGACUUUCUGGUCUGUAACUGACGCUGAUGUGCGAAAGCGUGGGGAUCAAACAGG
This 429-nucleotide ribosomal RNA is filed under the name Actinomycetes bacterium. Its description in RNAcentral is "Actinobacteria bacterium partial 16S ribosomal RNA". It matches the Rfam family "Bacterial small subunit ribosomal RNA", at positions 355 to 776 of the family's 1533-position model. The record is from RNAcentral. Lineage: Bacteria; Bacillati; Actinomycetota; Actinomycetes.